CACUCCUGCGGGAGGCAGCAGUGGGGAAUAUUGGACAAUGGGCGCAAGCCUGAUCCAGCCAUGCCGCGUGAGUGAUGAAGGCCCUAGGGUUGUAAAGCUCUUUCACCGGUGAAGAUAAUGACGGUAACCGGAGAAGAAGCCCCGGCUAACUUCGUGCCAGCAGCCGCGGUAAUACGAAGGGGGCUAGCGUUGUUCGGAUUUACUGGGCGUAAAGCGCACGUAGGCGGACUAUUAAGUCAGGGGUGAAAUCCCGGGGCUCAACCCCGGAACUGCCUUUGAUACUGGUAGUCUUGAGUUCGAGAGAGGUGAGUGGAAUUCCGAGUGUAGAGGUGAAAUUCGUAGAUAUUCGGAGGAACACCAGUGGCGAAGGCGGCUCACUGGCUCGAUACUGACGCUGAGGUGCGAAAGCGUGGGGAGCAAACAGGAUUAGAAACCCCAGUAGUCCCAUGA
Molecule: ribosomal RNA, 450 nt
Filed under: uncultured organism
Description: partial 16S ribosomal RNA
Rfam family: Bacterial small subunit ribosomal RNA
Source: RNAcentral